CAGAUGAUGAUCCCAAGCCUUCUGGCGGUCUACGCAAGUAAGCUCUCAUCAAAAGCUUUAAGGAAAGCUCUUUGUUUUUUGAAAGGGUGCUUUUAUGAGAUAAAGCUUUUUUAGAUAAUGCUUUUUUAGAUAAUGCUGGGGAAGGUUUUCCGGUUUAUCUCGGAGGGCUUGUAGCUCAGUUGGUUAGAGCGCGCGCUUGAUAAGCGUGAGGUCGGAGGUUCAAGUCCUCCCAGGCCCACCAAUUUACCUAUCCAUUUGCUUUUAUCCGUUUAUUUGCCGAUUUAUCGGUCCAUUGAAUUUAAGUGUUGGUAGCAGUUUUUAUAAUGAUGAGAAAUCAUGCUUAUAAAAGAACUCCUUAUAAAAGGCUUGUUUUUAAAAUGUGACGCUUAUCCAUUUUGCUUAGGCAAGAGAAACUUCAAGCGGUUCAAAUGCAAAAGGCUUUAAAUUUUGCAAAACAAUUUGAAUUUGGCAAAACAAUUUGAAUUUUAAAGUGAUCCAAGUUCGUGAUCUCGAAUUUAAAAGUUUCGAAUGCUUUAUCCUUUUUUGGGGGCCGUAGCUCAGCUGGGAGAGCACCUGCUUUGCAAGCAGGGGGUCGUCGGUUCGAUCCCGUCCGGCUCCACCAUUUAGAUCAUCAUCAUUGUUGUGAGAACACUCUUUAGUGAGAGGUUAAGUAGC
Molecule: transfer RNA, 675 nt
Filed under: Bartonella taylorii
Lineage: Bacteria; Pseudomonadati; Pseudomonadota; Alphaproteobacteria; Hyphomicrobiales; Bartonellaceae
Description: contains 16S-23S intergenic spacer region
Rfam family: tRNA (bases 165-238)
Source: RNAcentral